AGUCAAUAGAUACCCAGGUAGUCCACGCCGUAAACGAUGAGUACUAGGUGUAGGAGGUAUCGACUCCUUCUGUGCCGCAGUUAACACAAUAAGUACUCCGCCUGGGAAGUACGGUCGCAAGAUUAAAACUCAAAGGAAUUGACGGGGGCCCGCACAAGCAGCGGAGCAUGUGGUUUAAUUCGAAGCAACGCGAAGAACCUUACCUAGACUUGACAUCCCCUGAAUUACCAUGUAAUGUGGGAAGCCCUUCGGGGCAGGGAGACAGGUGGUGCAUGGUUGUCGUCAGCUCGCGUCGUGAGAUGUUGGGUUAAGUCCCGCAACGAGCGCAACCCUUAUCAUUAGUUGCUACCAGUAAGAUGAGCACUCUAAUGAGACUGCCCGGGUUAACCGGGAGGAAGGCGGGGAUGACGUCAAAUCAUCAUGCCCCUUAUGUCUAGGGCUACACACGUGCUACAAUGGUGAGAACAACAAGAUGCGAUACCGCGAGGUGGAGCAAAACUGAAAACUCAUCUCAGUUCGGAUUGCAGG
RNAcentral lists this ribosomal RNA (528 nucleotides) under uncultured bacterium. RNAcentral's name for it is "bacterial SSU rRNA". It matches the Rfam family "Bacterial small subunit ribosomal RNA", at positions 775 to 1304 of the family's 1533-position model. The record is from RNAcentral.